AAGCUGAAACUUAAAAGAAUUGACGGAAGGGCACCACCAGGAGUGGAGCCUGCGGCUUAAUUUGACUCAACACGGGAAAUCUCACCAGGCCCGGACACCGGAAGGAUUGACAGAUUGAGAGCUCUUUCUUGAUUCGGUGGGUGGUGGUGCAUGGCCGUUCUUAGUUGGUGGAGCGAUUUGUCUGGUUAAUUCCGAUAACGAACGAGACUCUGGCCUACUAAAUAGACGUCAAAUCUUUUAUAGGUUUGUCGUAUGCUUCUUAGAGGGACGGGCGGCGUUUAGCCGCACGAGAAUGAGCAAUAACAGGUCUGUGAUGCUAUUAGAUGUUAUGGGCCGCACGCGCGCUACACUGAAGAAAUCAGCGUGUGUUCCUCAUCCGAAAGGAUUGGGUAACCCGUUGUACCUUUUUUGUGAUGGGGAUUGGGGAUUGCAAUUAUUCCCCAUGAACGAGGAAUUCCCAGUAG
This 464-nucleotide ribosomal RNA is filed under the name Mesaphorura sp. 6G1b1_JC478. RNAcentral's name for it is "SSU rRNA". It matches the Rfam family "Eukaryotic small subunit ribosomal RNA", at positions 1134 to 1620 of the family's 1831-position model. The record is from RNAcentral. Lineage: Eukaryota; Metazoa; Arthropoda; Collembola; Poduromorpha; Tullbergiidae.